RNAcentral lists this ribosomal RNA (403 nucleotides) under Verrucomicrobiota bacterium. Its description in RNAcentral is "Verrucomicrobia bacterium partial 16S ribosomal RNA". It matches the Rfam family "Bacterial small subunit ribosomal RNA", at positions 355 to 776 of the family's 1533-position model. Lineage: Bacteria; Pseudomonadati; Verrucomicrobiota. The record is from RNAcentral.
UGGGGAAUAUUGCACAAUGGGGGAAACCCUGAUGCAGCGACGCCGUGUGAGCGAAGAAGGCUUUCGAGACGUAAAGCUCUGUCCUAUGAGAAGAUAAUGACGGUAUCAUAGGAGGAAGCCCUGGCUAAAUACGUGCCAGCAGCCGCGGUAAUACGUAUGGGGCGAGCGUUGUCCGGAAUUAUUGGGCGUAAAGGGUACGUAGGCGGUUUUUUAAGUCAGGUGUCAAAGCGUGGAGCUUAACUCCAUUAAGCACUUGAAGCUGAAAGACUUGAGUGAAGGAGAGGAAAGUGGAAUUCCUAGUGUAGCGGUGAAAUGCGUAGAUAUUAGGAGGAAUACCGGUGGCGAAGGCGACUUUCUGGACUUUUACUAACGCUCAGGUACGAAAGCGUGGGGAGCAAACAGG